UCCUCGCCUUGGCAAGGGCCCUGGGCAGUGCUGGCUUGCUCACCUGCAACCUGAGACAGACCACUGUCCACUCCCUGCCUCGGUUUCCCUGUCGGCCAAGGGAGGGGCAACAGCCCCUGCUGCGGUCCCAAAGGGUUCUUGGUUGUUCCCAAUGUUACAAUGAGUUCAAGUUGGUUUACCAGCUGCGAAGGUGCUUUGGAAAUGGGGCCGUUAAAGCAUUCAGCAUGGAAGGUAUUAGUGCUAGCAUUUAGUUAUUGGCACGUGCCAAGUAUGCCAAGACAACUCAGACAGGAGGGGAGACUGCAGCCCACAGAAGCUCUGGUUUCUGGAAUCAGCCACCCCCAGCUCUGUGUCACCCCAGGCAAGUGACUCAAUCUCUCUGAGCCCCCAUUUCUCAUAUACAAAACCCACUUUUAGGAAUAGAAGCUUCCCAAGUCUGUGGCACCUGGCUAAAUCAUUCUAACAGGUAUUUAUUUGAAGAGCUCAUUUCUAUUGGUGGCAACCGAUUGGUUUUCAAUUUUAGGUAGAGAUAGAAGCCCCCCCCCUUUUUUACAUCAGUUUAUGUAAGAGAAAAAGGGUGAGUUGCUUGAAAGAAGAAUAUUAAACAAAGAAUACAGGCGGUAUGGAGGAUGGAGCAGAAGUCAAGAUGGUAGCUUGGUAAAGUUUCCUAGGUCCACUUACUUUAGAGUCCUUUUUUGCUUUAGGGAUUUUCAAGAUGACCCCGUGUAGUUGGGGUGGGGAGGGGUGUGCUCCGCCCUGACAACCUGGGUGUCACAUGUCUUCCCUUGAUGGAGUGGGCCCACCCCUUCCUUGCUCUGCAGCAUCAAUGAGACCCCUCAGACCUCGGCCCCUACACCCACCCAUAGCUCUUAUUUGUCUCUUAUUUCAGGACCAUGAUGCCCCAGUGCCCUCUUUCCCGGCCAAGGCACCUUCUCAGUGAAAUGGGGGGAAUAUUAAACCCUCCGUGUAGAGCAGGGGCUCAAUCAGGCAGCUCUGAUGGGUCCCAAAGGGCACCAGCAGCCCUGGGAUGGGCAGGGGGCACAGCAGUGCCCUCGGCUUGGAGGGGGGCUCCUCAAACAGGCCCCCCUGUGCCUGGCCGGGGCACCAGCUCCCCGCCCACUCCUGGGACAGUGGCUUGGAGAGGAAGCAGUAAGCGCUGGGUCCCCGCUGGGCAGGGGCAGACUCCAGUUUCACUUUCUGCUGUGUCAUGGGGUGGGGGGUGGCAUUGGGGCCCAGCUGGCCAGCUGGGGCGGGCACCUAGACAGCUGCCAGCCCAGCUGCCAGAGCACCACCCACACCCACUCCUGCCCAGCAGCCUGCCAGAAUAGGGGUUGGGCCCUCGGGCCACCCCUUAACUGCCUCUCCCCACAAAGUGGGGAGAACCUCAAGUGAGAAAAGCCAGGUAAUGGGGUGAAAUGGUUCCUGUUGAUUCUAGAUGAGAGCUCUCUGACCGGGCACCUGCUUCCUGCCUCCCUUCGCUGGGCACAUGUCUGCUGAGGACCUACUGUGUGCCAAGCUCUGUGACAGGUGCCGGCGGUACAGCAGGGAGCAAGACAGACCCUGCCCUCUUGGGGCUCCCAGUUGAGUCGGGGGGAGACAGAUGAAAGAGUAAGCAAAGAAAGAAAGAAUCCCCUGUUGUGGGGAAAGUUCCACACUGUAGGCUUGGCGUUAGCAUCUCAGGGAGGGGCGUGCAUACAUGCCUGUCUAUGCACAUGUGCGUGUCAGCAAUGUGUCGGCUCCGGGGACACACAGCUAGAUGAAGAACACAGACCUGGGGGCCAGAUGUCCCCUGUUUGAAUCUGGACUCUUUCACUGACGGGUGUGUGAACUCAGGUGACCUCAGGCAAGUCCCCGCUCCUGAGUUCCCCUGUCUGGGUGCUGGAGUAAAAGUGUCUCCAUGACAGAGCUGCAGUGAGGAUGAACUAAGCGAACAUCCCUAAAGACUAAGGGCUGUGCCUGGCACCGACCAUGUGCUAGGUAAGUCUCAGCUCUUAUCUAAGAAUAAUAAAUGUGCACUGUUCUUCUAGGAGGCAAUGCAGCUGUCCCCGCAGGCUGAGCGCACUGGUAAGAUGGUCUGAGUACAUUCUGGCAGCUCUGGGGUUUAUAGACAGCCAGCGCGAUUCUUAAAGCAAAGCCCGGCCGGCCGAGAGUGACAGCAGCACCGCCAGGAGAAGGCAACAGAGCUACAGCCCAGUGCCCUUCAAAAAGCUGGUCUCAUCCCCACACCCAUAAACAGUGUGUGUGCCCUGUGUGCCAGGGGAAGCAAAUACAAAUGAGGUAAGUACACGUUCCAUGCCAGCCUGGAUGGGGGUGGACCCGGCCUCUGAGGUCACCCCUGGAGCUUUCUGCGGCAGUAAGUGUUCGCAGUUCUCGCUAGCUUGGGUUUUAUAAACAAAGGCAGAGUUUGGGGAGGUGAGCCAGGCCCGUGCAGCGAGAAGCAUUGUGGAAUCCAGUAUUUAUAUCUUUAGUACAGUUAGAACUUAAAUAUGGACAAAACAUAUUUUUCUGUUAAUUUACACAAACAAAUAUGUUCCCAGGCCCAACACCUCUGGUGCCAAGUUUCUAGGGGAAAUGAAAUUCGACUGUGAGAUUAUAAACCACUAGGGAGACAAGAAUGGAAAAGCUGUGGCAAGUUAGCUUUCUGCAUCCAGAUCCGGGCUGCUGAGCGGUGUCGCUUUCUGUCUUCGUUGCAGAUAAACCUGCCAGUAAUUUCAGCGAAUGAAACGCAGAUCCUGGAAAGGCCAGAAGAUGGAAAACGCUCCAGUUUUGAUAAAAGGAGGUCUGCUCUGCCUCCAGUCCUCCCUCCUGCUGGUCAGGAGGCGCAAAGAGGAGCUGAUGAAUUGAGGGAGAAGAAACGAGGCCAAUGUGAGUCGCCUUUCAAGGGCUGUGCUGAUAUACAAACCCAACAACCUGAAACUGGUCCAAGAGGGGAUUAAAGCAACAUGUUAUUGUGAGUGAUUGCUUAAUUUAUUGAGCUGUGGCAAGAUCUGUCAUGAAAUACACCCCUUGCAACUGAUAACCUCCGGCUGCAAUUGAACUUGACAAUUAAGGAAUAUUUUCCAAGGAUUUUUCUGGAACAGCUUAGAAUUUUUUGUCUCUGUGGUGGGGUGCUUCUGAGCACUCAUUUUGCCAGGCAAGCUUUUUUCUUUUCUUUUCUUUUUUAGGAACGAAAGGCUGGUGUUAAUAGGAAAUAAGCGUCACUUUAUUGACUGCCUUGUGCACACCAGGCACUUAAUAUACUUUAUCUCUAAUCCUGACAACAGCCCAAUGAAGGAACUCUUAUUCGUCCCUAUUUUACAGAUAUGAGGUUUCUAGGUGUUCAGUAACUUCCCCAAGUGACAUUGUCCAAGUUUGUAGCUAUUAGCCACUGGUGGCUAUUUAUGUCUAAAUUAAUUAAAAAUUAUCAAAGAAAUCCACUUCCUAGGUUGCACUAGUAGCCAGCACAAGUGCCCACUCACCAGGUGUGGCUGGUGGGCACCACACUGGACAGCUCAGAUACGGACCAUUUCGAUGACUGUGGGAAGUUCUCGUGAUCAGUGCUGUCCCAGAAUGUUCACAGGUAGAAGUCCAACCCCUGGCUUCAAAAUUCUACCGUUAGACCCUCGCUUCUUGCUUCUCUUUGUGGGGCUGAGAAGUAAGGACUAGAGCUGUGAGGCUAAACCCUGGCUGCACAUUCAAGUUACCUGGGCUGCUUUAAAAAAUAUUGAUGAUAUGGUCCCAGCCCUGGAGAUUAUGACUUUACUGUGAUCGGGGGGGUGGGGAGGCGGGGAGACAGGCAUGAGGGGCUCUAUAAUUCCCCAUGUGUACAGCCAGGAUUGAGAGCAGCUAGAAGAACGGGUCCACACACAGUAAGAUGGAAAGAACUGGCUCAUCUCCCAGCAGAAUGGGGUCGCUGUGGACCCAGGCGUGGGCUUCCCCCAGGCCUGCAUCUGAGCCUUCCAUCAAACGGCUCGGGUUCCUUCCUGCAGGCAGGGAAGACUUGGGUGCUUUCCCACACGCGCCCUGCUCGAUGGAGACACGGUGAGGAGCUCUGCUUUCAGGAACAGGCCCUGUCACGCCGCCACGGAAGAAAGGAGAUGGGAUGCGAGACCACAGGGACAAAGUGGGGUCUGUAGCCCCACCUUUGGAGUGGAAGCCUCGGGACGAGCCCAUGCUGUAAUCUGCCUGACAGAAUAAAAGUGUUUCCCAGCUCUGUCAACAAAGACAUUGCAAGGGAAGAAAAAGGGAGGGAGAGAGAACCUGCGGAUUGAGAGAGACGUAAGAGACACAUCAACCAAUCCCAAUGGAGGGAACUUGUAUGGGUCCCAAUUUUAUCCAACUGUAAAGAAAACAUUUAUGAAACAACCAAAGAAUUUUGAACACUGAGUAGAUAUUUGCUGAUAUUAACGCAUUACUGUUAGUUUUAGUAGGGGUUAUGGUGGGAUAAACCCCACUCCUCUUUUGGAGUCAUAUACGAAAAUAUUCGCAAAAGAAAUGAUUUCUGUCUGGAUUUUGCUUCUAAAUAUCUGAGAUGAAAGAGGAGGAGAACGGUUAUAGAUGGAACAAGACUGGCUGAGAGUUGGUGGUUGUUGAAGCUGGGAGAUGGGUAGUUGGGGUUCAUUGUACCACAUUGCUCUUGUGUAUGCUUAAAGUUUUUCAUAAUAAAAGUAAAUUUAAAAGUGAA
Molecule: long non-coding RNA, 4663 nt
Organism: Myotis brandtii (Brandt's bat)
Lineage: Eukaryota; Metazoa; Chordata; Mammalia; Chiroptera; Vespertilionidae
Exons: 3
Source: RefSeq, a predicted model, not a curated record